UGAAAAACCACAAUAUCUACUAGUGGUAGGCUUGGACUUUUACAAAAUGGUAUCAGAGCGAGCCGCAUGUUACAAUUUCAAUCUCCACCAUCCACCUUUGUGAGAAAAGACUGUUUUUGUGACAGGCUGGGUUUAUGCUAUUUUGUAGGAUCCGUGGGGUGAGAAAUAAUUGAAUCUUCAUAGGGAGAGAGUAGUGAUACAAUAAUGUUUUGUCUUUUAUUAUAUUCUCUAUUUCUCUUUGGACAUCAGUAUGUAGGCCUUUUUGUAACUAUUCACUAGAUCUCAUAUUACUUGAUUGGAGCUCCUUCUUGUAGUUGGCGCCCUGUGGGCUUCUCUUUUUUGUAUGCUUGUGAAUUCUUUCGGAAUUUUCUAUUUUUUUCAAAAAAAAAAAAGUACAAAUCAGACAGAACACAAUUGUUAGGGACCCAAGCCAUGAGGACCCCUGAUGCUGGGAAGCUGUUGAAGUUCAAUCUACUUUCACCAGAAGCUGGAGAAGUUGGGACAGCUGAAGUUGACUGUAAGAGUCUUAAAUGCGGUGUCUUGAUCUGAUCUCCAAUGGUUGCUGGGUAAAAUGGCCGACUCUGCUUCCACUUUGAGUGCCUUUUCCUUCAUCUCAUUGCAUUUGUAAGUACACGGGCGGUGGAAAGCCCCGAUGCCCCACCAUUCUUGAUCAUUUCUUUAACCACUUGUUAUUAUUGUAAACACAAGACUGCUCUGAGUGGGACUUCCCCGACCCAAUGCUCGUUACUUUGCCACCUAACUAUGCUU
Molecule: long non-coding RNA, 768 nt
Organism: Cucurbita maxima (winter squash)
Lineage: Eukaryota; Viridiplantae; Streptophyta; Magnoliopsida; Cucurbitales; Cucurbitaceae
Exons: 3
Source: RefSeq, a predicted model, not a curated record